GGAGGAGGAGGCGCAGUGGCUGUGUCGGUGGAGUGGAGUUGAGGCGCUGGUGAGGGUGACGAGUAGAGGUGCAGCGCUGGAGAUAAAAAAAAAAUGGAAUUUUCUAGAUGGUUUGGGUCGAACCGGUUCGAUUCGGUUCGAUUCGACCCAUAUCUUUGGUUUUCAUUUGGUUUUCGGCUUUUUCAGUCGGUUUUCGGUUCGGUUUCUCACAGUGUUCGCAUUAAAAUAUUGAAAUAAAUUUCCAGGCUGUCGGUUUAUUAAAUUUAAUUGGAAAAUCUUUGAAAAUAAAAAAAUUCGGGUUGUUUCAGU
RNAcentral lists this long non-coding RNA (309 nucleotides) under Jatropha curcas. Its description in RNAcentral is "long non-coding RNA (JCUR_LNC000190)". The record is from RNAcentral. Lineage: Eukaryota; Viridiplantae; Streptophyta; Magnoliopsida; Malpighiales; Euphorbiaceae.